GAUGAACGCUGGCGGCGUGCCUAAUACAUGCAAGUCGAGCGAACAGAUGAGGAGCUUGCUCCUCUGACGUUAGCGGCGGACGGGUGAGUAACACGUGGAUAACCUACCUAUAAGACUGGGAUAACUACGGGAAACCGGACCUAAUACCGGAUAAUAUAUUGAACCGCAUGGUUCAAUAGUGAAAGACGGUUUUGCUGUCACUUAUAGAUGGAUCCGCGCCGCAUUAGCUAGUUGGUAAGGUAACGGCUUACCAAGGCAACGAUGCGUAGCCGACCUGAGAGGGUGAUCGGCCACACUGGAACUGAGACACGGUCCAGACUCCUACGGGAGGCAGCAGUAGGGAAUCUUCCGCAAUGGGCGAAAGCCUGACGGAGCAACGCCGCGUGAGUGAUGAAGGUCUUCGGAUCGUAAAACUCUGUUAUUAGGGAAGAACAAAUGUGUAAGUAACUAUGCACGUCUUGACGGUACCUAAUCAGAAAGCCACGGCUAACUACGUG
Molecule: ribosomal RNA, 497 nt
Filed under: uncultured bacterium
Lineage: Bacteria
Description: partial 16S ribosomal RNA
Rfam family: Bacterial small subunit ribosomal RNA
Source: RNAcentral